This 460-nucleotide ribosomal RNA is filed under the name uncultured bacterium. RNAcentral's name for it is "partial 16S ribosomal RNA". It matches the Rfam family "Bacterial small subunit ribosomal RNA", at positions 338 to 795 of the family's 1533-position model. The record is from RNAcentral.
CCUACGGGAGGCAGCAGUGAGGAAUAUUGGUCAAUGGGCGAGAGCCUGAACCAGCCAAGUAGCGUGAAGGAUGACUGCCCUACGGGUUGUAAACUUCUUUUAUAUGGGAAUAAAAUGUUCCACGUGUGGGAUUUUGUAUGUACCAUAUGAAUAAGGAUCGGCUAACUCCGUGCCAGCAGCCGCGGUAAUACGGAGGAUCCGAGCGUUAUCCGGAUUUAUUGGGUUUAAAGGGAGCGUAGGUGGGUUGUUAAGUCAGUUGUUAAAGUUUGCGGCUCAACCGUAAAAUUGCAGUUGAAACUGGCAGUCUUGAGUACAGUAGAGGUAGGCGGAAUUCGUGGUGUAGCGGUGAAAUGCUUAGAUAUCACGAAGAACUCCGAUUGCGAAGGCAGCAUACUGGACUGCAACUGACACUGAUGCUCGAAAGUGUGGGUAUCGAACAGGAUUAGAUACCCCAGUAGUC